RNAcentral lists this ribosomal RNA (250 nucleotides) under uncultured bacterium. RNAcentral describes it as "partial 16S ribosomal RNA". It matches the Rfam family "Bacterial small subunit ribosomal RNA", at positions 524 to 774 of the family's 1533-position model. RNAcentral also lists the same sequence under 1 other name. The record is from RNAcentral.
UACAUAGGGGGCAAGCGUUAUCCGGAAUUAUUGGGCGUAAAGGGUGCGUAGGCGGCCAAUAAAGUCAGAGGUGAAAGGCUACGGCUCAACCGUAGUAAGCCUUUGAAACUAAUUGGCUUGAGUGCAGGAGAGGAGAGUGGAAUUCCAAGUGUAGCGGUGAAAUGCGUAGAUAUUAGGAGGAACACCAGUGGCGAAGGCGACUCUCUGGACUGUAACUGACGCUGAGGCACGAAAGCGUGGGGAGCAAACA